CGGUUGAUCCUGCCGGAGGCUAUUGCUAUCAGGGUUUGANUAAGCCAUGCGAGUCGAGAGGUGAAAGACCUCGGCAUACUGCUCAGUAACACGUGGAUAAUCUGCCCUCAGGUGAGGAAUAAUCCCGGGAAACUGGGGCUAAUCCCUCAUAGGAGACGGGUGCUGGAAUGCUCUGUCUCUGAAAGGUCCGCCGCCUGAGGAUGAGUCUGCGUCCGAUUAGGUUGUUGUUGGGGUAACGGCCCACCAAGCCAUUGAUCGGUACGGGUUGUGAGAGCAAGAGCCCGGAGAUGGAUUCUGAGACAUGAAUCCAGGCCCUACGGGGCGCAGCAGGCGCGAAAACUUUACAAUGCGAGCAAUCGUGAUAAGGAAACCCUGAGUGCCUGUCAAUGCAGGCUGUUCUGGUGUUUAGUCAGCACCAGGAGAAAGGGCGGGGCAAGACCGGUGCCAGCCGCCGCGGUAAUACCGGCUGCUCGAGUGAUAGCCACUUUUACUGGGCUUAAAGCGUUCGUAGCUUGGUCGUUAAGUCUCUGGGGAAAUCUUUUGGCUCAACCAAAAGACGUCUCAGAGAAACUGGCGACCUUGGGACCGGGAGAGGUAAGACGUACUUCGGGGGUAGGAGUGAAAUCUUGUAAUCCCCGAGGGACGACCGAUGGCGAAGGCAUCUUACCAGAACGGCUCCGACAGUGAGGGACGAAAGCUGGGGGAGCAAACCGGAUUAGAUACCCGGGUAGUCCCAGCCGUAAACGAUGUGCGUUAGGUGUGUCAGUGACCACGAGUCACUGAGGUGCCGAAGGGAAACCGUGAAACGCACCGCCUGGGAAGUACGGUCGCAAGGCUGAAACUUAAAGGAAUUGGCGGGGGAGCAC
RNAcentral lists this ribosomal RNA (866 nucleotides) under uncultured archaeon. Its description in RNAcentral is "bacterial SSU rRNA". It matches the Rfam family "Archaeal small subunit ribosomal RNA", at positions 5 to 879 of the family's 1478-position model. The record is from RNAcentral.